GACGAACGCUGGCGGCGCGCCUAACACAUGCAAGUCGAACGAGCAAUGGAGAGCUUGCUUUCCAGAGCGAGUGGCGAACGGGUGAGUAACGCGUGAGGAACCUGCCUCAAAGAGGGGGACAACAGUUGGAAACGACUGCUAAUACCGCAUAAGCCCACGGGUCGGCAUCGACCAGAGGGAAAAGGAGCAAUCCGCUUUGAGAUGGCCUCGCGUCCGAUUAGCUAGUUGGUGAGGUAAUGGCCCACCAAGGCAACGAUCGGUAGCCGGACUGAGAGGUUGAACGGCCACAUUGGGACUGAGACACGGCCCAGACUCCUACGGGAGGCAGCAGUGGGGAAUAUUGCACAAUGGGGGAAACCCUGAUGCAGCGACGCCGCGUGGAGGAAGAAGGUCUUCGGAUUGUAAACUCCUGUUGUUGGGGAAGAUAAUGACGGUACCCAACAAGGAAGUGACGGCUAACUACGUGCCAGCAGCCGCGGUAAAACGUAGGUCACAAGCGUUGUCCGGAAUUACUGGGUGUAAAGGGAGCGCAGGCGGGAAGACAAGUUGGAAGUGAAAUCUAUGGGCUCAACCCAUAAACUGCUUUCAAAACUGUUUUUCUUGAGUAGUGCAGAGGUAGGCGGAAUUCCCGGUGUAGCGGUGGAAUGCGUAGAUAUCGGGAGGAACACCAGUGGCGAAGGCGGCCUACUGGGCACCAACUGACGCUGAGGCUCGAAAGUGUGGGUAGCAAACAGGAUUAGAUACCCUGGUAGUCCACACCGUAAACGAUGAUUACUAGGUGUUGGAGGAUUGACCCCUUCAGUGCCGCAGUUAACACAAUAAGUAAUCCACCUGGGGAGUACGACCGCAAGGUUGAAACUCAAAGGAAUUGACGGGGGCCCGCACAAGCAGUGGAGUAUGUGGUUUAAUUCGACGCAACGCGAAGAACCUUACCAAGUCUUGACAUCCCUUGACAGACAUAGAAAUAUGUUUUCUCUUCGGAGCAAGGAGACAGGUGGUGCAUGGUUGUCGUCAGCUCGUGUCGUGAGAUGUUGGGUUAAGUCCCGCAACGAGCGCAACCCUUAUGGUCAGUUACUACGCAAGAGGACUCUGGCCAGACUGCCGUUGACAAAACGGAGGAAGGUGGGGAUGACGUCAAACCAUCAUGCCCUUUAUGACUUGGGCUACACACGUACUACAAUGGCGUUAAACAAAGAGAAGCAAGACCGCGAGGUGGAGCAAAACUCAGAAACAACGUCCCAGUUCGGACUGCAGGCUGCAACUCGCCUGCACGAAGUCGGAAUUGCUAGUAAUCGUGGAUCAGCAUGCCACGGUGAAUACGUUCCCGGGCCUU
Molecule: ribosomal RNA, 1333 nt
Filed under: uncultured bacterium
Lineage: Bacteria
Description: bacterial SSU rRNA
Rfam family: Bacterial small subunit ribosomal RNA
Source: RNAcentral